CCUGUUGCUGCAGUAGCCGAUUUCCUUCCCCCGUCACUUCCCACCUCUUCUCUCUCACGUACACAAACGGUCAGACGCCCUCACAAACGCACACACGCGCGCGCAAGUAUUUACACACUGCCACAUCGAAGAAAUCCGUACACAUUUUCCUGCUAAUAUACUAGCGCGCGCACACGCACUUCUCAGGCGCCCAGGUCUUCUGUCCAUCACAGACAGAAACAUUUACACACGUAGGCCAGGAAAGCGCUAACCGCGGUACUGUGACUCCACGGAGGUCCCCAGGACACGCCUUUUACAUGGUUAUUGAACCGAUCAGCGAACACAGACAAACGUGCCAACCCUUAAAUCUACUCUCUGGAUUUCAUCUCCAUGGCAACAAGCAUGGAAGGCCAAGAGGUGACUUCGGCAGGAAUUCUGAAGACCCA
RNAcentral lists this long non-coding RNA (425 nucleotides) under Capra hircus (goat). RNAcentral describes it as "lncRNA (ENSCHIG00010007406.1)". The record is from RNAcentral. Lineage: Eukaryota; Metazoa; Chordata; Mammalia; Artiodactyla; Bovidae.